RNAcentral lists this long non-coding RNA (1136 nucleotides) under Panax ginseng (ginseng). RNAcentral's name for it is "long non-coding RNA (PGIN_LNC004030)". The record is from RNAcentral. Lineage: Eukaryota; Viridiplantae; Streptophyta; Magnoliopsida; Apiales; Araliaceae.
GCGUAAUAGUCACUCGAGAUUGGAAUUCCUGGUUCUUGAAGGACAUUGUUGUAUGUAUGUAUGUAUGAAGAGUUGAGAUGAUGCGCAGGUGUUGAGGUAGCAAGAUGACGUUUGACUCCUAAUCGAGGUUAUCGCCGAUUUGAGUUGAAAGCAGACGUUGUUCAGGGCUACAACUGAGAUUGGACUGCUGCAAAUGUUGAAUGUCGCAAUGUCAUCUUGUGGAUGCCUGUCUGCCUGGUGUUAGCUCCGGGUCUGAGGUAUGAGUGCCUCGGCAGGAGGUCUGAGCUUGAAGCUGAUAGCAUACAUUUGAAACAAGCAUUUCCGGGGUUAUCGCCGGAACUGCAACAACAUUCCUUGAGGUUAUUGCCAAGGACGAAACUCGGGGUUAUCUCUGAGGUUAGAAAUGAUGUUCUCGGUAUGUGUUCCGGGGUUGAGACUGAUACUCCCGGUGUAUGGUCCGGGGUUGAGAUUGAACUUCCGGUAGUAUCCGGAAUGGAUGUGAACUGUCUUCUAGGGUUAUCUCCGAAAGAUGAUUCUGCCCUCCUGCAAUGUUAGUAACAGUUGUGUAGAAAAUUUUUAGUGUCUACAAAGGCCCCUCUUUAUCAUAUUCAUGCAAUGCAAGGCAUGGAUAGGAUAAAGAAUCCUAGACACUUUAAAUGCAACAAGAUAAACAUGAUGUUAUGUGCAGCAACAUGAUGCAAAUGUAUGAUGCAUGAUUGUCAGUUAAUCAUGUUGGGAUGACAAUCAGUGAUGUCUUGGACAUGCGAUCCAAGUCUUCAAGGAUGUUGACAUUGGGGCUAUCACCAAAGUCGUGAAUCCUAGACACAGACUUCAUUCUCUAUAGAAGUACCUCUUGUGUAUACGAGAUCUGUGGGGAUAAAGCUUUGUCUAUUUGAGGAUGUGUAUAACGUAUCCCACCAUCCUGUUGGAGUUACUGCCAACAGUAUGAACUUGUCAGGGUUGCCUGACCUUCGUAGAUGUGUGUAUCACCGUAUAAAUCCCUGAUGGGUGCAUUGUCAAGGCUGCUUGACGUUCAUUGAUGUGUGUAUCAAUGAUUGCAUUGCGUUGUAACCCCCGCUGGGGAUACGUGGAUGUUUGAAAAUGUUGUGUUGUGACCCCCACCGGGGAAUAUGUCA